CGGAGCUAAAUAGUGAUGCGAAACAAGGUGCAUAAAGCAGGUCUUAAUUCGAACUGAAGUCUUAAGGUCUGUUUUAUAAAGUUAGAAUUGCUAGUAAUUGCGCAUUAAAAUGAUAUGGCAAAUAUGUCUUUUGGCCUUCUAUACACUGCUUGUCACACUGUCUGAGCUGAGAAUGUCUAAAACCAUUGUUCUAAUCUAUAAGAGAGUAAGGUAUUUGAGGUAUGUUUAGUGUGGGAUUGAAGGCCCAGCAAGGCAGCUGUAUUAUAAAAUAUGGUUGAAUUGUCUUCCUUUUAAAAAUAAAGAUAAAUUAAGAUGAAUUUCAUUAAUUCUUCUCUCUAUUUUUAUUUUGAUGAAAAUUUUUUUUAAGUCAAAGUAAAUUUUUAGUUUAAACUUUAGAAAAAAUAAAUCUUUGUUAAGUAUUUAGUGCUAUAUAGUUUAAUAUUGAAUUAAGCGUUGGUAAUAGUAAAUCAUAAUUUUAAAUUUUGAAGUGAAAGGCUUUUAUAUUGCUAGAUGUGCAUUUAAAUCUAAUAUAACGGCAAUUGGUCAUUUUAAAAUUGAGAUUAUAUUCUAAAUAUUGCUUAACAUUUACCAAAUAUUUUAUUGUUCUGAUUAAUUGGCUUAAAGUAAUACCGAAGUGAUUAUAAUGAUGGAACACAU
RNAcentral lists this unclassified non-coding RNA (657 nucleotides) under Borreliella garinii. RNAcentral describes it as "partial 16S-23S ribosomal RNA intergenic spacer". The stretch from base 1 to 290 matches the Rfam family "Bacterial small subunit ribosomal RNA", at positions 1245 to 1533 of the family's 1533-position model. The record is from RNAcentral. Lineage: Bacteria; Pseudomonadati; Spirochaetota; Spirochaetia; Spirochaetales; Borreliaceae.